CAAGGCUUGACAUAUAGAGGAAAAGUGCAGAAAUGCACUCCCCGCAAGGUCUCUAUACAGGUGGUGCAUGGUUGUCGUCAGCUCGUGUCGUGAGAUGUUGGGUUAAGUCCCGCAACGAGCGCAACCCUCGUCCUAUGUUGCCAGCACGUUAAGGUGGGAACUCAUGGGAUACUGCCGGGGUCAACUCGGAGGAAGGUGGGGAUGACGUCAAGUCCUCAUGGCCCUUACGUGUUGGGCCACACACGUGCUACAAUGGCAGUGACAAUGAGAUGCUAAACAGCGAUGUUAAGCUAAACUCAAAAAACUGCCUCAGUUCGGAUUGCACUCUGCAACUCGAGUGCAUGAAGCUGGAAUCGCUAGUAAUCGCUCAUCAGCGCGGAGCGGUGAAUACGUUCCCGGGUCUGUACACACCGAAUCUAGAUGCAUCGGAGCGGC
RNAcentral lists this ribosomal RNA (435 nucleotides) under uncultured bacterium. RNAcentral describes it as "bacterial SSU rRNA". It matches the Rfam family "Bacterial small subunit ribosomal RNA", at positions 975 to 1414 of the family's 1533-position model. The record is from RNAcentral.